RNAcentral lists this ribosomal RNA (253 nucleotides) under uncultured bacterium. RNAcentral describes it as "partial 16S ribosomal RNA". It matches the Rfam family "Bacterial small subunit ribosomal RNA", at positions 524 to 776 of the family's 1533-position model. The record is from RNAcentral.
UACGUAGGUGACAAGCGUUGUCCGGAUUUACUGGGCGUAAAGAGCGCGCAGGCGGUCGAUCAAGUCGAGUGUGAAAGCCCCCGGCUCAACUGGGGAGGGUCACGCGAUACUGCUCGACUUGAAGGCAGGAGAGGGAAGUGGAAUUCCCGGUGUAGUGGUGAAAUGCGUAGAUAUCGGGAGGAACACCAGUGGCGAAGGCGACUUCCUGGCCUGUUCUUGACGCUGAGGCGCGAAAGCUAGGGUAGCAAACGGG